CCCCAGUCUCAAAUGUAAGGAAGGAUCUUACAGAGUGGCAAGAAAAACACGCCAAGCUUGUACUUUCAACAGUUAAGGAAAUAUCAAAGUUAAGAUUCGAGUUGUGCCCGCGUGUUAUGAGAGAGAGGAAAUUCUGGAGGAUAUACUUUAUACUGGUAAACAGUCAUAUUGCACUGUACGAGAAGCAGUAUAUGGAAGAGGUUGAGCGAAAAGCUUAAGAAAAAGUUGUCGAUAAAAAAGUGAAGGAAUCUUUAAACAUUGAAAUGACAUCUGAACCACAGGCAAAGGGAACAAAGCAGCACGGUAAAAGUUCGACCUCAGUUUCUGAGCAAGACCUGGAUGUGUUUCUUCUGGGUGGUGACAGUGAUGAAGGCCCUGAGGAUGAAGAUGAGGGCUUUGAUGAUGCUUUUGGUAAAAUGGCUGACAGUUCGGAUGAUGAGGUCAAAUCAUAGAAGAUCCGGAAACCGUUCUCGACAUGGUGAAUCAUUGGUAUUAGAUCUGAAAGAAAGAUGCCUGGAUGUUGCUGAUUAUAACAUUUUCAGUAGAAUAAAGGGGACUGACAGGUGAUUCAUAUAUCAUAAGAAACCAUUGGUGUUUCUUCUUUUCUUUUCUUUUUAUUUGCUUAUUCUCGUUUAGGAAAGAGGUCAAGACAUGGCAAUUCAUGCAUCAAUGUUAUGUUCAUAUAUAUAUAUAUUAUUAUUAUAACCGAUUAUAAAAUUAUAUAAGUUUUGACAGAUUAAUAAUUCGUAU
Long non-coding RNA from Hibiscus syriacus, 750 nucleotides. RefSeq lists it as uncharacterized. The transcript has 5 exons. NCBI's taxonomy places the organism in Eukaryota, Viridiplantae, Streptophyta, Magnoliopsida, Malvales, Malvaceae. The record is from RefSeq and is a predicted model, not a curated record.